Molecule: unclassified non-coding RNA, 378 nt
Filed under: plant metagenome
Description: partial contains 5.8S ribosomal RNA, internal transcribed spacer 2, and large subunit ribosomal RNA
Rfam family: 5.8S ribosomal RNA (bases 1-105)
Source: RNAcentral
GAAAUGCGAUAAGUAAUGUGAAUUGCAGAAUUCAGUGAAUCAUCGAAUCUUUGAACGCACCUUGCGCUCCUUGGUAUUCCUUGGAGCAUGCCUGUUUGAGUAUCAUGAAAUUUUCAAAGUAAAUCUUUUGUUAACUCAAUUGGUUUCUACUUUGGUAUUGGAGGUCUUUGCAGCUUCACACCUGCUCCUCUUUGUUCAUUAGCUGGAUCUCAGUGUUAUGCUUGGUUCCACUCGGCGUGAUAAGUUAUCUAUCGCUGAGGACACUGUAAAAGGUGGCCAAGGUAAAUGCAGAUGAACCGCUUCUAAUAGUCCAUUGACUUGGACAAUACUUUUAUGAUCUGAUCUCAAAUCAGGUAGGACUACCCGCUGAACUUAAGC